This 327-nucleotide ribosomal RNA is filed under the name uncultured eukaryote. RNAcentral's name for it is "partial 18S ribosomal RNA". It matches the Rfam family "Eukaryotic small subunit ribosomal RNA", at positions 1470 to 1796 of the family's 1831-position model. The record is from RNAcentral.
CCCUUAGAUGUUCUGGGCCGCACGCGCGCUACACUGACGAAUGCAACGAGCUUAUAACCUUGGCCGAAAGGUCUGGGUAAUCUCCAAAUUUCGUCGUGAUGGGGAUAGAUUAUUGCAAUUAUUAAUCUUCAACGAGGAAUGCCUAGUAAGCGCAAGUCAUCAACUUGCGUUGAUUACGUCCCUGCCCUUUGUACACACCGCCCGUCGCUCCUACCGAUUGAAUGGUCCGGUGAAGCGUUCGGACCGUGGCCUUUGGACGGUUCGCCGUCUGUUGGCUGCGGGAAGUUCGUUAAACCUUAUCAUUUAGAGGAAGGAGAAGUCGUANCA